AGUUUCUGUAAAUUUACACCCAGAUUCCAACAUUAUUCACCUGUUUCCUUCAAUAAACAGGACUUUCCAGUCAUUAGUAAGACAAAUGUGUAAAAUCAGGCUCCAACACUGUUAUUUACCACGCCCGUAAUGUUUAUUCUGGAACACACGUACUUCCCGUUAUCUAUUAACGUUACCUUCGAGCUGGUGAUGGGAAGCUGUCUGCUGAGAGAAGACGAUACGUUGGAAUCAUACCCAAACCCAUCAACACAAUAAGGGAUGUGCGACUGUAGCUGAUGUUGAGUCUUCUAAGCCUACCUGUGACGCCUCGCCUGAUAUUACUAGGUGAACGACAAGGUAAUCAUCAAAAGUGGAUGGUCAGCAUUGAAUCCUUAAUCGUUUGUGAAGGGUCCAACCUCGCCACAUUUCUAACAGGGAUUGCGACAUGUUUCUCCACCUUCUAUAUUCUGAAUCUGCAAUAUCAGGAGGAGGCAGCGUGCACCCUUGAAUUCUUCCAGAG
Molecule: long non-coding RNA, 499 nt
Organism: Alosa alosa (allis shad)
Lineage: Eukaryota; Metazoa; Chordata; Actinopteri; Clupeiformes; Clupeidae
Exons: 3
Source: RefSeq, a predicted model, not a curated record